RNAcentral lists this non-coding RNA (36 nucleotides) under unclassified sequences. RNAcentral's name for it is "DUF805b RNA". It matches the Rfam family "DUF805b RNA". Rfam says of the family: Bacteroidetes, Chlorobi (1 example), Proteobacteria. Lineage (Flavobacteria) The record is from RNAcentral.
UGGGUGGAAUCCGAAAAUCCUUUAAUAGAGUAGGAA